Molecule: ribosomal RNA, 1151 nt
Filed under: Escherichia albertii
Lineage: Bacteria; Pseudomonadati; Pseudomonadota; Gammaproteobacteria; Enterobacterales; Enterobacteriaceae
Description: partial 23S ribosomal RNA
Rfam family: Bacterial large subunit ribosomal RNA
Source: RNAcentral
GGUUAAGCGACUAAGCGUACACGGUGGAUGCCCUGGCAGUCAGAGGCGAUGAAGGACGUGCUAAUCUGCGAUAAGCGUCGGUAAGGUGAUAUGAACCGUUAUAACCGGCGAUGUCCGAAUGGGGAAACCCAGUGUGUUCCGACACACUAUCAUUAACUGAAUCCAUAGGUUAAUGAGGCGAACCGGGGGAACUGAAACAUCUAAGUACCCCGAGGAAAAGAAAUCAACCGAGAUUCCCCCAGUAGCGGCGAGCGAACGGGGAGGAGCCCAGAGCCUGAAUCAGUGUGUGUGUUAGUGGAAGCGUCUGGAAAGGCGCGCGAUACAGGGUGACAGCCCCGUACACAAAAAUGCACAUGCUGUGAGCUCGAUGAGUAGGGCGGGACACGUGGUAUCCUGUCUGAAUAUGGGGGGACCAUCCUCCAAGGCUAAAUACUCCUGACUGACCGAUAGUGAACCAGUACCGUGAGGGAAAGGCGAAAAGAACCCCGGCGAGGGGAGUGAAAAAGAACCUGAAACCGUGUACGUACAAGCAGUGGGAGCCCUGAUUUAUCAGGGUGACUGCGUACCUUUUGUAUAAUGGGUCAGCGACUUAUAUUCUGUAGCAAGGUUAACCGAAUAGGGGAGCCGGAGGGAAACCGAGUCUUAACUGGGCGUUAAGUUGCAGGGUAUAGACCCGAAACCCGGUGAUCUAGCCAUGGGCAGGUUGAAGGUUGGGUAACACUAACUGGAGGACCGAACCGACUAAUGUUGAAAAAUUAGCGGAUGACUUGUGGCUGGGGGUGAAAGGCCAAUCAAACCGGGAGAUAGCUGGUUCUCCCCGAAAGCUAUUUAGGUAGCGCCUCGUGAAUUCAUCUCCGGGGGUAGAGCACUGUUUCGGCAAGGGGGUCAUCCCGACUUACCAACCCGAUGCAAACUGCGAAUACCGGAGAAUGUUAUCACGGGAGACACACGGCGGGUGCUAACGUCCGUCGUGAAGAGGGAAACAACCCAGACCGCCAGCUAAGGUCCCAAAGUCAUGGUUAAGUGGGAAACGAUGUGGGAAGGCCCAGACAGCCAGGAUGUUGGCUUAGAAGCAGCCAUCAUUUAAAGAAAGCGUAAUAGCUCACUGGUCGAGUCGGCCUGCGCGGAAGAUGUAACGGGGCUAAACCAUG